AGAGUUUGAUCAUGGCUCAGAAUCAACGCUGGCGGCGUGCCUCAGACAUGCAAGUCGAACGCGAAAGUCUCCUUCGGGGGAUGAGUAGAGUGGCGCACGGGUGAGUAACACGUAGGUAAUCUACCUUCGGGUGGGGAAUAACCCAGGGAAACUUGGGCUAAUACCGCAUAAUGCAGCGGCACCACAUGGUGACAGUUGUUAAAGCGGGGGAUCUUCGGAUCUCGCGCCUGAAGAGGAGCCUGCGGCAGAUUAGCUAGUUGGUAAGGUAACGGCUUACCAAGGCGACGAUCUGUAGCCGGCCUGAGAGGGCGGUCGGCCACACUGACACUGACAUACGGGUCAGACUCCUACGGGAGGCAGCAGUCGGGAAUUUUGGGCAAUGGGCGAAAGCCUGACCCAGCAACGCCGCGUGAAGGAUGAAAUCCCUCGGGAUGUAAACUUCGCAAGAAUGGGAAGAACUAGUAGGGGUUAAUACCCUCUAUGAUGACGGUACCAUUUGUAAGCUCCGGCUAACUCCGUGCCAGCAGCCGCGGUAAUACGGGGGGAGCAAGCGUUGUUCGGAUUUACUGGGCGUAAAGGGCGCGUAGGCGGUCAGCACAAGUCAGUUGUGAAAUCUCCGGGCUUAACUCGGAAAGGUCAACUGAUACUGUGCGACUAGAGUGCGGAAGGGGCAACUGGAAUUCUCGGUGUAGCGGUGAAAUGCGUAGAUAUCGAGAGGAACACCUGCGGCGAAGGCGGGUUGCUGGGCCGACACUGACGCUGAUGCGCGAAAGCCAGGGGAGCGAACGGGAUUAGAUACCCUAGUAGUCC
RNAcentral lists this ribosomal RNA (810 nucleotides) under uncultured bacterium. Its description in RNAcentral is "bacterial SSU rRNA". It matches the Rfam family "Bacterial small subunit ribosomal RNA", at positions 8 to 796 of the family's 1533-position model. The record is from RNAcentral.